ACGCGUUAUGUCGACCGCCUGGGGAGUACGGCAGAAAGGUUAUAACUCAAAUGAUUUGACGGGGGCCCGGACAAGCGGUGGAGCUUGUGGUUUAAUUCGAUGCAUCGCUUAGAACCUUACCUGGUCUUGACAUCCACAGAACUUUCCAGAGAUGGAUUGGUGCCUUCGGGAACUGUGAGACAGGUGCUUCAUGGCUGUCGUCAGCUAGUUUUUUGAUAUGUUGGGUUAAGUCCCGAAACGAGC
This 243-nucleotide ribosomal RNA is filed under the name Escherichia coli. Its description in RNAcentral is "partial 16S ribosomal RNA". It matches the Rfam family "Bacterial small subunit ribosomal RNA", at positions 855 to 1097 of the family's 1533-position model. The record is from RNAcentral. Lineage: Bacteria; Pseudomonadati; Pseudomonadota; Gammaproteobacteria; Enterobacterales; Enterobacteriaceae.